RNAcentral lists this ribosomal RNA (960 nucleotides) under Vibrio parahaemolyticus. RNAcentral's name for it is "partial 23S ribosomal RNA". It matches the Rfam family "Bacterial large subunit ribosomal RNA", at positions 588 to 1555 of the family's 2925-position model. The record is from RNAcentral. Lineage: Bacteria; Pseudomonadati; Pseudomonadota; Gammaproteobacteria; Vibrionales; Vibrionaceae.
GUCCUGUGACUGCGUACCUUUUGUAUAAUGGGUCAGCGACUUAUAUUCAGUGGCAAGGUUAACCAUCUAGGGGAGCCGUAGGGAAACCGAGUCUUAACUGGGCGUUCAGUCUCUGGAUAUAGACCCGAAACCAGGUGAUCUAGCCAUGGGCAGGUUGAAGGUUGAGUAACAUCAACUGGAGGACCGAACCGACUAAUGUUGAAAAAUUAGCGGAUGACUUGUGGCUAGGGGUGAAAGGCCAAUCAAACCUGGAGAUAGCUGGUUCUCCCCGAAAGCUAUUUAGGUAGCGCCUCGGACGAAUACUACUGGGGGUAGAGCACUGUUAAGGCUAGGGGGUCAUCCCGACUUACCAACCCUUUGCAAACUCCGAAUACCAGUAAGUACUAUCCGGGAGACACACGGCGGGUGCUAACGUCCGUCGUGGAGAGGGAAACAACCCAGACCGCCAGCUAAGGUCCCAAAUUACUACUAAGUGGGAAACGAUGUGGGAAGGCUCAGACAGCCAGGAUGUUGGCUUAGAAGCAGCCAUCAUUUAAAGAAAGCGUAAUAGCUCACUGGUCGAGUCGGCCUGCGCGGAAGAUGUAACGGGGCUAAGUAGUAAACCGAAGCUGCGGCAAUGUGCUUUUGCACAUUGGGUAGGGGAGCGUUCUGUAAGCGGUUGAAGGUGUGUGGUAACGCAUGCUGGACGUAUCAGAAGUGCGAAUGCUGACAUGAGUAACGAUAAAGGGGGUGAAAAACCUCCUCGCCGGAAGACCAAGGGUUCCUGUCCAACGUUAAUCGGGGCAGGGUAAGUCGACCCCUAAGGCGAGGCCGAAAGGCGUAGUCGAUGGGAAACGGGUUAAUAUUCCCGUACUUCUUACAAUUGCGAUGGGGGGACGGAGAAGGCUAGGUGGGCCUGGCGACGGUUGUCCAGGUUCAAGUGCGUAGGCUUAAGAGUUAGGUAAAUCCGGCUCUUUUUAA